Molecule: small nucleolar RNA, 90 nt
Organism: Andrographis paniculata
Lineage: Eukaryota; Viridiplantae; Streptophyta; Magnoliopsida; Lamiales; Acanthaceae
Source: RefSeq, a predicted model, not a curated record
UGGCUAUGAUUAAUUCUUAUCCGCGCUUCUGAGAUCUUCAGUCGAUGAAGCAUAAAUCGGAACAAUGGUUGAAUUUCUUGAUAUGAGCCA